GUUCCCUUCUCUUUGAGCGAACUUUCUCAAAUAGAAAGCAGACUGGGUUCUUAUACCUCUAACCCCUCUAACUUUAUUAAAGAAUUUCAGUACAUUACUCAAUCUUACAACUUGACUUUUCAUGAUGUCUAUAUGAUUCUUACUAACAAUUUACUUCCUGAUGAACGCAGGCGAGUUUGGGAAGAGGCAAAAACGCAUGCAGAUGAAAUUCACCAGACAGACGGCAGCUAUCCAAUUGGAUCUGAGGCAGUGCCUGACCAAGACCCGCUAUGGGAUUAUAAUUCCUCGGCUGGUAUUUUAGCCAGAGACAGCUAUCCCGACAUAAGAGCUAAACUUAGACGCUUGGAGAGAGGACCCCUGACUCCACAGGCGGAAGUCUUGGCGCUGGCCUUCAAGGUAUACCAUGAGAGAGAUGAAAAAGCCCGAAAACAAAAGUACCACAUGCUGGCAAAAGCUGUCCGACCAGCUCCAGCUAUCGCCCCGGGCUCCGAGCCUUCCAAGGCUCAGGAACCACCAGCUCCCUGCUACAGGUGUGGUCAAUCAGGUCACUGGGCAAGGACUUGCCCCAACCCCCGCAAGCCAAGGGGACCAUGUCCUAAAUGUCAUCGUGAGGGCCACUGGGCGGUCGACUGUCCCCAUGUUACACAGAACAGAAGGCCAUCCCGCCCAGAAACCCCUCCUACUGACCUCCUAGGCUUGGCUAUGGAUAAAUGAAGGGGCCGGAGCUCCCUCAACCCGACCUCGCCCAUCACUAGCAGGGAGCCCCGGGUAACUAUCGUGGUAUGUGGAAAGCCCAUCUCUUUCCUUCUGGAUACCGGGGCCACUUACUCAGUCCUGGUGGAAUUUUGGGGCUCCACUUCACCCUCGCGUCUUCCCAUAGUCGGGAUAGGAGGACAGCCUUACCUUCCUCAUCAGACCCCACCACUUAGCUGUACUUUUAGAAAUAUACCCUUCACCCAUUCCUUUUUGGUAGUGCCAACCUCUCCCGUCCCUUUAUUAGGAAGGGAUCUUUUAGUUAAGUUGGGAGCUUCAAUUUCUUUUGCUCCCCCCACUCGCCUGAACCCGAGCUCGCCAGCAGUUCCCCUACUUCUCCUUCUAGCCAAUCAACCUACUAACACUAACAUGUUAUUUCCUCUACCAGCUUCUCAGGUGGACCCCAGAGUUUGGGACGUCCAGAACCCCUCUGUUGCUAAACAUCAUUCUCCCGUUGUCAUCCAGUUACUGGACCCUACCAGGACCUUGCUCUAUCAAGCUCCGGAGGACAUCGGGACCACCCACCUUGUCCCCAAUUCCAGAACAUGAGACUCCACUCCGGCAGCCGAGCUCGACCUCAUUGGAUUAGACAUGGGUUUCUUGUCCUACCCCUGCUGUUCUUCAUUUCCAUCCAGGGCAGUCCUUACAUUUGGAGAUUCGAGGUUCAAGAAACCCCCACAGAUAACAAACAGUCUUUCCAAAUAGGGUCAGGAAACUGCUCCAUAGCCGGAUGUCAGGUACCGAUCCAAAUCGCGAUCAUCCCUGUAUCUGUUAUCCCAUCUAAGUAUUAUGAUCUCUAUACUUGCUUUCUCUUUGACCAGACAGAAGAUUACUGUAAAAAAUGGCCAGACGAAUAUGGGGGCUGCCCAUAUUGGUCUUGUCAGAUACAUAUGCUAGGAUCACGGGUCAAUCAUUUCUUCUUUCAACACCGCAAGACGCUUUUCUUCCACAUACAAGACCCGUGGGAUUCCAGGUGGGAAACAGGAGUCGUUGGUAAGCUCUAUCGUAAAAACCAGCCCAGUUCCCCAAUAAGUACCAUCCAUAUUCAGAGAAAGUAUAUCUCAAUCGCCCAACCCCUAGAUAUUGGAAAAGUGGGGGAGAUAAUUAAACACUCCUCUAAGGUCCUUGAUUCUUUAACAGCAC
Molecule: RNA transcript, 1896 nt
Organism: Apodemus sylvaticus (European woodmouse)
Lineage: Eukaryota; Metazoa; Chordata; Mammalia; Rodentia; Muridae
Exons: 3
Source: RefSeq, a predicted model, not a curated record